Molecule: ribosomal RNA, 497 nt
Filed under: uncultured bacterium
Lineage: Bacteria
Description: partial 16S ribosomal RNA
Rfam family: Bacterial small subunit ribosomal RNA
Source: RNAcentral
GAUGAACGCUGGCGGCGUGCCUAAUACAUGCAAGUCGAGCGAACGGACGAGAAGCUUGCUUCUCUGAUGUUAGCGGCGGACGGGUGAGUAACACGUGGAUAACCUACCUAUAAGACUGGGAUAACUUCGGGAAACCGGAGCUAAUACCGGAUAAUAUUUUGAACCGCAUGUUUCAAAAGUGAAAGACGGUCUUGCUGUCACUUAUAGAUGGAUCCGCGCUGCAUUAGCUAGUUGGUAAGGUAACGGCUUACCAAGGCAACGAUGCAUAGCCGACCUGAGAGGGUGAUCGGCCACACUGGAACUGAGACACGGUCCAGACUCCUACGGGAGGCAGCAGUAGGGAAUCUUCCGCAAUGGGCGAAAGCCUGACGGAGCAACGCCGCGUGAGUGAUGAAGGUCUUCGGAUCGUAAAACUCUGUUAUUAGGGAAGAACAUAUGUGUAAGUAACUGUGCACAUCUUGACGGUACCUAAUCAGAAAGCCACGGCUAACUACGUG